ACCUUCUAGCUCUAACUUGCUAUAUUCUUCCAGCACCUUCCAGGUCCGAAAAUACUAAUACUAUAAAACACCUAUCAACACAUAAAAAAAACUAGCAAAAAAAAUCCAAGAACUAGACCUAGCAGUAUCUGUCAGCCAGAGAGAGGAAAAGAAAAUGAAACCCAUCGACGACAAGAAGGACAAAAUGGUAACAAGGGCAGUGCCCCGCGAUGAAGAAGGGAAGAAAAGAGUUGAGAAGACAGAGCUUAAAACCGACAACAUAGAUACCAUUAAGUAUGUGGGAAAAAAGCUCAUGGACAAGGGGCUGCUGCGCAUGGAAAGGCACCCAGUUGA
Molecule: unclassified non-coding RNA, 333 nt
Filed under: Hevea brasiliensis (rubber tree)
Lineage: Eukaryota; Viridiplantae; Streptophyta; Magnoliopsida; Malpighiales; Euphorbiaceae
Source: RNAcentral